GACGAACGCUGGCGGCGUGCCUAAUACAUGCAAGUCGAGCGAAGUUUUUCUGGUGCUUGCACUAGAAAAACUUAGCGGCGAACGGGUGAGUAACACGUAAAGAACCUGCCUCAUAGACUGGGACAACUAUUGGAAACGAUAGCUAAUACCGGAUAACAGUAUUUCUCGCAUGAGAGAUAUUUAAAAGUUGGUUAUGCUAACACUAUGAGAUGGCUUUGCGGUGCAUUAGCUAGUUGGUGGGGUAAAGGCCCACCAAGGCGACGAGGCAUAGCCGACCUGAGAGGGUGAUCGGCCACACUGGGACUGAGACACGGCCCAGACUCCUACGGGAGGCAGCAGUAGGGAAUCUUCCGCAAUGGGCGAAAGCCUGACGGAGCAACGCCGCGUGAGUGAAGAAGGAGUUCGGUUCGUAAAGCUCUGUUGUUAGGGAAGAAUGGAUAUGUAGUAACUAUACAUGUAAGAGACGGUACCUAACCAGAAAGCCACGGCUAACUACG
Molecule: ribosomal RNA, 497 nt
Filed under: uncultured bacterium
Lineage: Bacteria
Description: partial 16S ribosomal RNA
Rfam family: Bacterial small subunit ribosomal RNA
Source: RNAcentral